This 29-nucleotide non-coding RNA is filed under the name Cricetulus griseus (Chinese hamster). The record is from RNAcentral. Lineage: Eukaryota; Metazoa; Chordata; Mammalia; Rodentia; Cricetidae.
UCAAACUACAGAACAAUGUGCUAAGCAGU